RNAcentral lists this ribosomal RNA (254 nucleotides) under uncultured bacterium. Its description in RNAcentral is "partial 16S ribosomal RNA". It matches the Rfam family "Bacterial small subunit ribosomal RNA", at positions 524 to 777 of the family's 1533-position model. The record is from RNAcentral.
GACGUAGGGGGCAAGCGUUGUCCGGAAUCAUUGGGCGUAAAGCGCUCGUAGGUGGAUCGGUAAGUCUGCAAAGAAAGACCCGGGCUCAACUCGGGGAACGGUGUGGAUACUACCGAUCUUGAGGCAAUCAGAGGAUGAUGGAAUUUCCGGUGUAGCGGUGAAAUGCGUAGAGAUCGGAAGGAACACCAGUGGCGAAGGCGGCUACCUGGACAAAUACUGACGCUGAGGCGCGAGAGCGUGGGGAGCAAACGAGG